Molecule: ribosomal RNA, 497 nt
Filed under: uncultured bacterium
Lineage: Bacteria
Description: partial 16S ribosomal RNA
Rfam family: Bacterial small subunit ribosomal RNA
Source: RNAcentral
GAUGAACGCUGGCGGCGUGCUUAAUACAUGCAAGUCGAGCGGACGGACGAGAAGCUUGCUUCUCUGAUGUUAGCGGCGGACGUGUGUGUCACACGUGGAUCCCCUCCCUAUAAGUGUGGGAUAACUUGGGGAAACCGGCGCUAAUCCCGGAUAAUCUUUUGAUCCGCAUGGUUCAAAAGUGAAAGUCGGUCUUGCUGUCACUUCUCGAUGGAUCCGCGCUUCUUUAGCUAGUUGGUACGGUAACGGCCUACCAAGGCAACGAUGCCUAGCCGACGUGAUAGGGGGAUAGGCCACACGGGAGCGGGAACACGGUCCAGACGCCUACGAGAGGGAGCAGUAGGGAAUGUGCCGCAGUAGGGGAAAGCCUUACGGAACGGCGCCGCGUGUGAGAUGAAGGUCUUCGGAGCGGAAUACUCGGUUAUGAGUGGAAAACAGAUUUGUAAGGAACUGUAGACAGCGUGACGGUACCUAAUCAGGAAGCCACGGCUAACUACGUG